GUUGAGGGGAAUGUUGUCUGGUCGGAGACCUAACACCAAGGAUCUCAUCCAUGGAGCAUCGCAGCAUGGUGGAUGGUUUCGGACCAGGCUUCAUUCCCCCCAAC
Molecule: microRNA precursor, 104 nt
Filed under: Dichanthelium oligosanthes
Lineage: Eukaryota; Viridiplantae; Streptophyta; Magnoliopsida; Poales; Poaceae
Description: mir-166 microRNA precursor family
Rfam family: mir-166 microRNA precursor family
About the family: This family represents the plant microRNA (miRNA) precursor mir-166. Animal miRNAs are transcribed as ~70nt precursors and subsequently processed by the Dicer enzyme to give a ~22nt product. In plants the precursor sequences may be longer, and the carpel factory (caf) enzyme appears to be involved in processing.
Source: Rfam by way of RNAcentral